GAUGAACGCUGGCGGCGUGCUUAACACAUGCAAGUCGAACGGGAUCCAAGGGGUGCUUGCACUUUUUGGUGAGAGUGGCGAACGGGUGAGUAACACGUGAGUAACCUGUCCUUUUCUUUGGGAUAAGCAUUCGAAAGGGUGUUUAAUACCUUAUGUUCUGUCUGCCUCGCAUGGGGUGGGUGGGAAAGGCUUUGGCCGGAUUUGGGUGGGCUCGCGGUCUAUCAGCUUGUUGGUGGGGUGAUGGCUUACCAAGGCUUUGACGGGUAGCCGGCCUGAGAGGGUGGUCGGUCACAUGGGGACUGAGAUACGGCCCAGACUCCUGCGGGAGGCAGCAGUGGGGGAUAUUGCACAAUGGGCGAAAGCCUGAUGCAGCGACGCCGCGUGGGGGAUGAAGGCCUUCGGGUUGUAAACUUCUUUUGCUCUGAACAAGGCAUGCCAGUGGGUGUGUUGAGUGUAGGGGUUGAUGAGCGCCGGCUAACUACGUG
RNAcentral lists this ribosomal RNA (485 nucleotides) under uncultured bacterium. Its description in RNAcentral is "partial 16S ribosomal RNA". It matches the Rfam family "Bacterial small subunit ribosomal RNA", at positions 28 to 507 of the family's 1533-position model. The record is from RNAcentral.